RNAcentral lists this ribosomal RNA (431 nucleotides) under uncultured bacterium. Its description in RNAcentral is "partial 16S ribosomal RNA". It matches the Rfam family "Bacterial small subunit ribosomal RNA", at positions 338 to 795 of the family's 1533-position model. The record is from RNAcentral.
CCUACGGGGGGCUGCAGUUGGGAAUCUUGGACAAUGGGGGAAACCCUGAUCCAGCCAUGCCGCGUGAGUGAUGAAGGCCUUCGGGUUGUAAAACUCUUUCGCGCACGACGCGGUAGUGCUAGAAGAAGCUCCGGCUAACUUCGUGCCAGCAGCCGCGGUAAUACGAAGGGGGCGAGCGUUGUUCGGAAUUACUGGGCGUAAAGCGCGCGCAGGCGGUCUACCAAGUCAGUGGUGAAAGCCCGGAGCUCAACUCCGGAACUGCCAUUGAAACUGUUAGACUUGAGGACGAGAGAGGUGAGUGGAAUUCCCAGUGUAGAGGUGAAAUUCGUAGAUAUUGGGAAGAACACCGGUGGCGAAGGCGGCUCACUGGCUCGUCUGACGCUCAGGCGCGACAGCGUGGGGAUCAAACAGGAUUAGAUACCCUGGUAGUC